Molecule: transfer RNA, 70 nt
Filed under: Loxodonta africana (African savanna elephant)
Lineage: Eukaryota; Metazoa; Chordata; Mammalia; Proboscidea; Elephantidae
Rfam family: tRNA
About the family: Transfer RNA (tRNA) molecules are approximately 80 nucleotides in length.
Source: Rfam by way of RNAcentral
GCAUUGGUGGUUUAGCGGUAGAAUUCUCACCUUCCAUACAGGAGAUCUGGGUUCAAUUCCAGCCAAUGCA